RNAcentral lists this ribosomal RNA (38 nucleotides) under Cystoisospora ohioensis. RNAcentral describes it as "partial 18S ribosomal RNA". Lineage: Eukaryota; Apicomplexa; Conoidasida; Eucoccidiorida; Sarcocystidae. The record is from RNAcentral.
GAGAAGUCGUAACAAGGUUUCCGUAGGUGAACCCGCGG